AGAUCCAUUCUGAGACACGAAAAAUGUAUAAUAAAUUUUAAGACCAGGUACUAUGUAGUAGGAGGCUACUGAAACAGGUGUCACAAUAACGCCAUCUAGAAAACGCCUGAUGCUAUUUUAAGGUUAACAAAUCGUAUAUCUCUGUUUUGUUUCUUCAAAAAAGAAUUUUACGUUCUUUGAUUUUAUUCUACUGUUAAUCUAUCGAAUGAAUUUCAUACUUCACGUAUUGCUAAUUAUAUAUGUAUUAACUACUUAUAUUGAUUUUUGAACUUACAAGCGCCGGCGCAUCAAUUUUUAUUGCAUUUCUUUUGUUAUAUUUGUUACAAUUGAUGGAUAGAUCAUUGCUUAAGUAAAAACUUUAUAUCAUAAAUAGCAGUAACAUAUUGGAGGAUUAUUUUACAAAAUUAUGAAUCUCAUUUUUUUUUAUAAUUUCCCUAUUAGUUCUCAGAUAAUUACUAUUCACUAAUGAAUAUAGAAUGAUAUUGUACAGAACACGCUUCUAAAAAGUAUAAAAAUUCUUUCAACGUUGUUCUUUAUAAAAUCAUCCUUUAAAAAUAUUUCAAAUUUCGCGCUUUAGCGAAUUUUAAUACUUGAGUCUCGUAUUACCAUUUCCUAUAAGCGUAGCUACAAAAAAAGAUGCAGAAACGAUUCGUUUCCCGCCGUUUCUGCGAUACUGUUAGGCUCAAUCGGAUUGAGAAGUCACUAAAAUUUCUCAAGUUGGUGUUAAGUGAAAGAAAUAUGUUGAAAUUCGCAAAAUUAUCUGAUAAAGCGCAUGCACCAACAAGAGGAUCGGAAUAUGCUGCUGGAUAUGAUUUAAGAAGUGCCUAUGAAUAUACUGUGCCUGCACGUGGUAAAGAACUUGUCAAAACUGAUUUGCAAAUUGCAGUUCCUGAGAAUACAUACGGAAGAAUAGCACCACGUUCUGGAUUAGCGUGGAAAAAUCAUAUUGAUGUAGGUGCAGGUGUUAUUGAUGCCGAUUAUCGCGAGGAAAAUGUAUGGAAGCUCUGUCAGGAUGUAGCAACCAGGCACGGAUCGGAAUUACAGCAUUGCUAUGCUGCUUUUGUGAGCAACUCCUGGCGUAGCGUACCGCUUUGGCGACAACGGGCAGGGAAGGACGAGGAUAAACUUGUAGUUUGGGACUUCCACGUAAUCCUUAUCUACGCGCCCGACGAUAGAGCGGUCGUUUACGAUUUAGAUAGCGCGUUGCCAUUUCCCACGCAUUUCUGGAAAUACGCGAUGGAAACGUUUAGAUCGGACGAGGUUCUGCAACCAGAACAUCAUAGAAGAUUCAGAGUGGUGCCAGCCAGUGUAUACCUGCGGGAGUUCGCCUCCGAUCGACAUCACAUGAAACGCGAGGAUGGAACAUGGAUCAAGACACCGCCGGAUUAUCCGCCAAUUUCGACAUCAACGUGCAAGGAUAACUUGGAUUCCUUUAUUAAUAUGGAUCCGGGGACCGGGUUCGGGGUUGUGUUGACCUUAGACCAAUUAUUCGACCGAUUUCAUAGGCCGAACGCGAUCCCAACGGCACCUCGUACACCUCAUCCGCAACCGACACCGACUUAAAUAAACCGCUAAACUUUUGCAAAGUAAUACUAGAACAAUAAAUAUUCAUAGAAUAACAGACAUGUAACUAGAAGUUAAGUAAUGCUGAUACUGACUUACAUCGAACAUAAGUAGGUGCAUUAAUUUUUCAUUGUCCUCUGUUCUCGUUUCCCAACGAUGAAUUCCUUUCCUUUUAUUUCAACAAAUUACGCAAGUUAGAACUUCUGCUAAAAUAUCUCUAAAUAAAUUUUUUUCCUCCUUUUUUUCUUUCUCUUUUUUUCUCUUUUCUUUUCACAGAACAAGUGUUCUCAUCAAUAUAUAACUAGGUUUCCCCUGGAUUUCACGUUCGAUAGUACGGCCUAUUCCGCUUUGAUUCUGAAAUAGAGAGGCGUCGUGUCGUCGGAGUGUUGGCAAGUAUCAGAGCGUUCCAAUCACGUAUUGGAAAGAAGGAGGAAUACUCACUGCCAAGGAUGACCUGGACCUCGGCCUGGGAACGUGAAAGCCGCUAUUCUGCGGAAUUAGAUCAGCCCUGUCCUUAUCUUGCGGCUCGGAAUCCGAGCUGUCUGGAUCUGGCUGAUGUCUUUGUCGAGGUCUCGUCGGUGCUUGAAGUCGAGGCAGUGGCACUGGCGGCAGUGUUCCAUGAAUAUUCAAGGGUGGAUACCCGAAUACGGCGGAACUUGGUCGAGUUGGACCCAUAGGUUCCGUCUGGCGUUCAAUAAAAAUAUUAAUUAAAAUAUCA
This is an RNA transcript of Frieseomelitta varia, 2281 nucleotides long. It is a transcript of the gene named protein N-terminal glutamine amidohydrolase-like, with no coding region annotated. The transcript is spliced from 7 exons. NCBI's taxonomy places the organism in Eukaryota, Metazoa, Arthropoda, Insecta, Hymenoptera, Apidae. The record is from RefSeq and is a predicted model, not a curated record.